CCCGCUGAACUUAAGCAUAUCAAUAAGCGGAGGAAAAGAAACUAACAAGGAUUCCCCUAGUAACUGCGAGUGAAGCGGGAAAAGCUCAAAUUUAAAAUCUGGGGGUCCCUGUGGCCCUCCGAGUUGUAAUCUAGAGAAGUGCUAUCCGCGCUGGACCGUGUACAAGUCUUCUGGAAGGGAGCGUCAUAGAGGGUGAGAAUCCCGUCUUUGACACGGACUACCAAUGCUUUUGUGAUGCGCUCUCGAAGAGUCGAGUUGUUUGGGAAUGCAGCUCAAAAUGGGUGGUAAAUUCCAUCUAAAGCUAAAUAUUGGCGAGAGACCGAUAGCGAACAAGUACCGUGAGGGAAAGAUGAAAAGAACUUUGGAAAGAGAGUUAAACAGUACGUGAAAUUGUUGAAAGGGAAACGCUUGAAGUCAGUCGCGUUGUCCAGAAAUCAACCUUGCUUCUGCUUGGUGUACUUUCUGGUUAAUGGGUCAGCAUCAAUUUUGACCGGUGGAUAAAGGUCAGGGGAAUGUGGCAUCUUCGGAUGUGUUAUAGCCCUUGGUUGCAUACAUCGAUUGGGAUUGAGGAACUCAGCAUGCCGCAAGGCCGGGUUUUUAACCACGUACAUGCUUAGGAUGCUGGCAUAAUGGCUUUAAUCGACCCGUCUUGAAACACGG
This 660-nucleotide ribosomal RNA is filed under the name uncultured fungus. Its description in RNAcentral is "eukaryotic LSU rRNA". It matches the Rfam family "Eukaryotic large subunit ribosomal RNA", at positions 24 to 664 of the family's 3401-position model. Lineage: Eukaryota; Fungi. The record is from RNAcentral.